AACAAUGGGUGAAUCUACAGGAUGUCAAGCAGCAACUCUCAGGUGAACCACUCAGUCAGUGGAUCUGGUGUUAACUAUACAAUGCCAAAUGUCUUCUGGUGAUCUGAAGACAUCAGGGGCUUUUCUAUCAUGUAGACCAAACAUGAUUCAGUGCAAAAAAGGGCCUGGAAGACUGCGUACGGAAAAAUGGGGCAGCAGUGUGAGAGUAUUCUGAAACAACGCGAAGACAGAAAUAGCAGCGCCGACAGAGUUGCAGAACUCCAGAGCCAGAAGGAUGAUAUCUCAACAAAUGACAGAGCCCAAUUCAUUGACUCCAAUAAGAACGACA
RNAcentral lists this long non-coding RNA (328 nucleotides) under Homo sapiens (human). RNAcentral's name for it is "HSALNT0007748". Lineage: Eukaryota; Metazoa; Chordata; Mammalia; Primates; Hominidae. The record is from RNAcentral.